RNAcentral lists this ribosomal RNA (253 nucleotides) under uncultured bacterium. Its description in RNAcentral is "partial 16S ribosomal RNA". It matches the Rfam family "Bacterial small subunit ribosomal RNA", at positions 524 to 776 of the family's 1533-position model. The record is from RNAcentral.
UACGUAGGGAGCGAGCGUUAUCCGGAUUUACUGGGUGUAAAGGGAGCGUAGACGGCGGUGCAAGCCAGAUGUGAAAGCCCGGGGCUCAACCCCGGGACUGCAUUUGGAACUGUGCUGCUAGAGUGUCGGAGAGGCAGGCGGAAUUCCUAGUGUAGCGGUGAAAUGCGUAGAUAUUAGGAGGAACACCAGUGGCGAAGGCGGCCUGCUGGACGAUGACUGACGUUGAGGCUCGAAAGCGUGGGGAGCAAACAGG